Molecule: ribosomal RNA, 273 nt
Filed under: uncultured prokaryote
Description: partial 16S ribosomal RNA
Rfam family: Bacterial small subunit ribosomal RNA
Source: RNAcentral
UACGAAGGGGGCUAGCGUUGUUCGGAAUUACUGGGCGUAAAGCGCACGUAGGCGGAUCGAUAAGUAAGAGGUGAAAUCCCAGAGCUCAACUCUGGAACUGCCUUUUAAACUGUCGAUCUGGAGCAGAGUAGAGGUGAGUGGAAUUCCGAGUGUAGAGGUGAAAUUCGUAGAUAUUCGGAGGAACACCAGUGGCGAAGGCGGCUCACUGGACUCUUGCUGACGCUGAGGUGCGAAAGCGUGGGGAGCAAACAGGAUUAGAAACCCUGGUAGUCC